This is a transfer RNA of Ipomoea nil (Japanese morning glory), 72 nucleotides long. It matches the Rfam family "tRNA". From Rfam's summary of the family: Transfer RNA (tRNA) molecules are approximately 80 nucleotides in length. Their secondary structure includes four short double-helical elements and three loops (D, anti-codon, and T loops). Lineage: Eukaryota; Viridiplantae; Streptophyta; Magnoliopsida; Solanales; Convolvulaceae. The record is from Rfam.
AUUAGAGUGGCGCAGCAGAAGAGUGGUGGGCCCAUAACCCAUAGGUCCUAGGAUUGAAACCUUGCUCUGAUA